Molecule: non-coding RNA, 76 nt
Organism: Dehalobacter sp. CF
Lineage: Bacteria; Bacillati; Bacillota; Clostridia; Eubacteriales; Desulfitobacteriaceae
Source: Rfam
CAAACCGCGCAGUGAUGUGUAGCUGAGGCAUGAGAAGUCAGCAGAAGCUAUAGUACCGCGGAAACGCGGGAAGGGC